GCCUGGGUGGCUCAGUCGGUUGAGCGUCAGACUUCAGCUCAGGUCAUGAUCUCACAGUUCGUGAGUUCGAGCCCCACGUCGGGCU
This 85-nucleotide transfer RNA is filed under the name Felis catus (domestic cat). It matches the Rfam family "tRNA". From Rfam's summary of the family: Transfer RNA (tRNA) molecules are approximately 80 nucleotides in length. Their secondary structure includes four short double-helical elements and three loops (D, anti-codon, and T loops). RNAcentral also lists the same sequence under 1 other name. The record is from Rfam by way of RNAcentral. Lineage: Eukaryota; Metazoa; Chordata; Mammalia; Carnivora; Felidae.